CGAACGGGGAGGAGCCCAGAGCCUGAAUCAGCAUGUGUGUUAGUGGAAGCGUCUGGAAAGGCGCGCGAUACAGGGUGACAGCCCCGUACACAAAAGCGCAUGUGCUGUGAGCUCGAUGAGUAGGGCGGGACACGUGGUAUCCUGUCUGAAUAUGGGGGGACCAUCCUCCAAGGCUAAAUACUCCUGACUGACCGAUAGUGAACCAGUACCGUGAGGGAAAGGCGAAAAGAACCCCGGCGAGGGGAGUGAAAAAGAACCUGAAACCGUGUACGUACAAGCAGUGGGAGCACAGGUUUACCUGUGUGACUGCGUACCUUUUGUAUAAUGGGUCAGCGACUUAUAUUCUGUAGCAAGGUUAACCGUAUAGGGGAGCCGGAGGGAAACCGAGUCUUAAUUGGGCGUUAAGUUGCAGGGUAUAGACCCGAAACCCGGUGAUCUAGCCAUGGGCAGGUUGAAGGUUGGGUAACACUAACUGGAGGACCGAACCGACUAAUGUUGAAAAAUUAGCGGAUGACCUGUGGCUGGGGGUGAAAGGCCAAUCAAACCGGGAGAUAGCUGGUUCUCCCCGAAAGCUAUUUAGGUAGCGCCUCGUGAAUUCAUCUCCGGGGGUAGAGCACUGUUUCGGCUAGGGGGCCAUCCCGGCUUACCAACCCGAUGCAAACUGCGAAUACCGGAGAAUGUUAUCACGGGAGACACACGGCGGGUGCUAACGUCCGUCGUGAAGAGGGAAACAACCCAGACCGCCAGCUAAGGUCCCAAAGUCAUGGUUAAGUGGGAAACGAUGUGGGAAGGCCCAGACAGCCAGGAUGUUGGCUUAGAAGCAGCCAUCAUUUAAAGAAAGCGUAAUAGCUCACUGGUCGAGUCGGCCUGCGCGGAAGAUGUAACGGGGCUAAACCAUG
RNAcentral lists this ribosomal RNA (899 nucleotides) under Salmonella enterica subsp. enterica serovar Reading. RNAcentral's name for it is "partial 23S ribosomal RNA". It matches the Rfam family "Bacterial large subunit ribosomal RNA", at positions 254 to 1191 of the family's 2925-position model. The record is from RNAcentral. Lineage: Bacteria; Pseudomonadati; Pseudomonadota; Gammaproteobacteria; Enterobacterales; Enterobacteriaceae.